RNAcentral lists this ribosomal RNA (254 nucleotides) under uncultured bacterium. RNAcentral describes it as "partial 16S ribosomal RNA". It matches the Rfam family "Bacterial small subunit ribosomal RNA", at positions 524 to 776 of the family's 1533-position model. The record is from RNAcentral.
GACGAACCGUGCGAACGUUAUUCGGAAUCACUGGGCUUAAAGCGCGUGUAGGCGGAUCGGAACGUCGGAGCCUGAAAUCCCCCGGCUCAACCGGGGAACGCGGCCCGAAACGACCGGUCUCGAGGGGUGUAGGGGGGACUGGAACUUCCGGUGGAGCGGUGAAAUGCGUUGAGAUCGGAAGGAACGCCCGUGGCGAAAGCGAGUCCCUGGACGCCUGCUGACGCUGAGACGCGAAAGCUAGGGGAGCGAACGGG